This 253-nucleotide ribosomal RNA is filed under the name uncultured bacterium. Its description in RNAcentral is "partial 16S ribosomal RNA". It matches the Rfam family "Bacterial small subunit ribosomal RNA", at positions 524 to 776 of the family's 1533-position model. The record is from RNAcentral.
UACAGAGGUCUCAAGCGUUGUUCGGAUUCAUUGGGCGUAAAGGGUGCGUAGGCGGUCGCGCAAGUCGGAUGUGAAAUCUCAGGGCUCAACCCUGAAACUGCAUUCGAUACUGCGUGGCUCGAGUGCUGGAGAGGAGACUGGAAUUUACGGUGUAGCAGUGAAAUGCGUAGAUAUCGUAAGGAAGACCAGUGGCGAAGGCGAGUCUCUGGACAGCAACUGACGCUGAGGCACGAAGGCCAGGGGAGCAAACGGG